RNAcentral lists this ribosomal RNA (491 nucleotides) under uncultured bacterium. RNAcentral describes it as "partial 16S ribosomal RNA". It matches the Rfam family "Bacterial small subunit ribosomal RNA", at positions 29 to 506 of the family's 1533-position model. The record is from RNAcentral.
AGUGAACGCUGGCGGUAGGCCUAACACAUGCCAGUCGAACGGCAGCACAGUAAGAGCUUGCUCUUACGGGUGGCGAGUGGCGGACGGGUGAGGAAUACAUCGGAAUCUACUUUUUCGUGGGGGAUAACGUAGGGAAACUUACGCUAAUACCGCAUACGACCUACGGGUGAAAGCAGGGGAUCUUCGGACCUUGCGCGAUUGAAUGAGCCGAUGUCGGAUUAGCUAGUUGGCGGGGUAAAGGCCCACCAAGGCGACGAUCCGUAGCUGGUCUGAGAGGAUGAUCAGCCACACUGGAACUGAGACACGGUCCAGACUCCUACGGGAGGCAGCAGUGGGGAAUAUUGGACAAUGGGCGCAAGCCUGAUCCAGCCAUACCGCGUGGGUGAAGAAGGCCUUCGGGUUGUAAAGCCCUUUUGGUGGGAAUGAAAAGCAGCAGGUUAAUACCCCGCUGUUCUGACGGUACCCAAAGAAUAAGCACCGGCUAACUUCGU